AUGGCCAUCCCUCAUACCAUGAAGUAUUUCUUCAGAGGAGUCUUAACUGAGUUCCUGGAAAACUCAAUAGCGAACAGUGAAAAGAGAUCUAUUCUGAAUAAUUUCAGUUGCAAUGGCCUUACCUUCUCCACGUCUGUUCCUGUGGUUUCUCCUGAAGUCCUUCACUCUCCCCUCUUGACGAAGGCACUCGACUCUAGCCUGGCACAUUCACCUCCAUUGAACCUCCGUCGGCUUCCUCCCCAGCGGCAGCCAUCUAUGGCUCAGGGACUGUCUGCGCUUGGAUGGAACCGGUGCUCGUUCCCCCACCCCGGCCGGCCGCCCGCAGCCAGCCCUCCGUCACCUCCACACCGCGCCCUCCGACCGCCCCCAGGCCCCGCCGCCGCCUUGACGACCCCCUCGCCGGUGCGCCAGGACCCACCAGGACUCAGAGGCCGCCAGCAACCGCCAGCUCAACCUGGAGCUCUGCGCCUCCCACGUUUACCUGUCCGUGUCUUACUACUUCGACCGCGGUGAUGUGGCUUUGAAGAACUUUGCCGGGUGCUUUCUUCACCAAUCUCAUGAGGACAGGGAACAUGCCGAGAAACUGAUGAAGCUGCAGAACCGACGAGGUGGCCGCGUCUUCCUUCAGGAUGUCAAGAAACCAGACCAUGAUGACUGGGAGAGCGGGCUGAAGGCGACGGAGUGUGCAUUGCAUUUGGGAAAAAAAAGCAAAUCAGUCACACUGGAGCUGCACAAACUGGCCCCUGACAAAAAUGACCCCCAUUCGUGUGACUUUAUUGAGACAUGACCUGUAUGAGCAGGUGAAAUCCAUCAAAGAAUCGGGUGACCACGUGACCAACUUGCGCAAGAUGGGAGCACCCCAAUCUGGCUCGGCAGAGUAUCUCUUUCACAAGCACACCCUGGGAGACAGUGAUAAUGAAAGCUAAGCCUUAGGCUAAUUUCCCCAUAGCCAUGGGGUGACUUCCCUGGUCACCAAGGCAGCACAUGCAUGCUGGAGUUUCCUUUACCUUUUCUAUAAGUUGUACCAAAACAUCCACUUAAGUUCUUUGUACCAUUCCUUCCAAUAAAGAAAUUUGGUACCCA
This is a non-coding RNA of Saimiri boliviensis boliviensis (Bolivian squirrel monkey), 1083 nucleotides long. Lineage: Eukaryota; Metazoa; Chordata; Mammalia; Primates; Cebidae. The record is from RefSeq and is a predicted model, not a curated record.